This 595-nucleotide antisense RNA is filed under the name Streptomyces oceani. Its description in RNAcentral is "Streptomyces sp. SCSIO 02100 Saccharopolyspora sRNA 389". It matches the Rfam family "Saccharopolyspora sRNA 389". Lineage: Bacteria; Bacillati; Actinomycetota; Actinomycetes; Kitasatosporales; Streptomycetaceae. The record is from Rfam by way of RNAcentral.
ACCAACUCGGUCGAGGUCUUGUGCAGGAAGUCCUCACGGGCCCGGCGGACCUUGCCAUGCGCCACGGCAACCUUACGGGCCGCCUUCUUCCGGUUGGCCGAGCCCCGGCACGUACGCGCCUUACGCCGCUCAUAGCGAGCCAGGUUCCUACGCUUGCGCUCAAGGUGCCGCGGGUUGGCGAUCCGCUGCCCGUCCGAGGUGACGGCGAAGUCCUUGAUCCCCAGGUCGAUGCCGACCACGUCACCGGUCUGGGCAAACGGCUCGGGAUCGUCGGUACCGACGGCGAAGGACACAUACCACAUGCCGUCCCGCUCACGGGAGAGGGUCACCGUUGUCGGAUGGAGCGACGCCACGUCGAUGUCGGGCCAGGACCAUACGAAGCAAAGCGCCCCCGGGGUCUUCGCCACGUACAGCUCCGCAUCCUGCAUGCGGAAGGCAGAGCGGGUGUAUGCGGCGGACUGCUUCCCCUCGCGGGACUUGUAGCGCGGGUAACGGGCGCGCUUGGCGAAGAAGUUCGCGAACGCGGUGGACUGGUGCCGCAGUGUCUGCUGGAGCGGAACCGAGGAGACCUCGGAGAGGAACGCCAGGUCCUUGG